CAGUCGCCGCGGGAAUACAGAGGGUGCGAGCGUUAAUCGGAUUUACUGGGCGUAAAGCGUGCGUAGGCGGCUUUUUAAGUCGGAUGUGAAAUCCCUGAGCUUAACUUAGGAAUUGCAUUCGAUACUGGGAAGCUAGAGUAUGGGAGAGGAUGGUAGAAUUCCAGGUGUAGCGGUGAAAUGCGUAGAGAUCUGGAGGAAUACCGAUGGCGAAGGCAGCCAUCUGGCCUAAUACUGACGCUGAGGUACGAAAGCAUGGGGAGCAAACAGGAUUAGAGACCCCGGUAGUCCCUGUCUCUUAUAU
This 301-nucleotide ribosomal RNA is filed under the name uncultured bacterium. Its description in RNAcentral is "partial 16S ribosomal RNA". It matches the Rfam family "Bacterial small subunit ribosomal RNA", at positions 509 to 809 of the family's 1533-position model. The record is from RNAcentral.